CUACGGGGCGCUGCAGUGAGGAAUAUUGCGCAAUGGGGGAAACCCUGACGCAGCGACGCCGCGUGGAUGAUGAAGGCCUUAGGGUCGUAAAAUCCUGUCAGGUGGGAAGAAGUGGAUAUAGAUUAAUACUCUAUUUCUUUGACGGUACCACCAAAGGAAGCACCGGCUAACUCCGUGCCAGCAGCCGCGGUAAUACGGAGGGUGCAAACGUUGUUCGGAAUUACUGGGCGUAAAGCGCGCGUAGGCGGUUUGUUAAGUCAGAUGUGAAAGUCCAUGGCUCAACUAUGGAAAUGCAUUUGAAACUGGCAGACUUGAGUACUGGAGGGGGUGAUGGAAUGCCCGGUGUAGAGGUGAAAUUCGUAGAUAUCGGGAGGAAUACCGGUGGCGAAGGCGAUCACCUGGCCAGAUACUGACGCUGAGGUGCGAAAGCGUGGGGAGCAAACAGGAUUAGAUACCCGUGUAGUC
Molecule: ribosomal RNA, 465 nt
Filed under: uncultured bacterium
Lineage: Bacteria
Description: partial 16S ribosomal RNA
Rfam family: Bacterial small subunit ribosomal RNA
Source: RNAcentral